This is a long non-coding RNA of Grammomys surdaster, 3010 nucleotides long. RefSeq lists it as uncharacterized. The record is from RefSeq and is a predicted model, not a curated record. The transcript has 4 exons. Lineage: Eukaryota; Metazoa; Chordata; Mammalia; Rodentia; Muridae.
CUGGCUCCAGCCGAGUUCCCAGAAGGCAGAUGCUAGAAUCUGCAGCCCGGGCGGAAAGCACGAGCGUGGCCGGGAGGUUUGCUCUGCUCCGUGCACCUGUGGUAUAGAGUGCGCUCACAGAAGGUUUCUGCUGGGAUUAAUCCCUGAGUAACUUCACCAUGGUGCACGGAAGAAUGGAGAAAGAGAAAUCCACUGGAGGGAACAUUUCAAGCAUUGCCAAGCCAUGGAGGGUCAGAAGAGGGAGGCUGGUCUAAGCAAGACACUGUCACUUGAGGAGCUGAUGUAAAUCCUGGGCCUGGGUGCCUUGAUCUUUGAAGGUGAUGGGACUGCUGCUGAGCCUCCUGUCAAGAGGAAAGCUGUGACUCAUUCAUCUCUUUGAUGUUUCUCUGUGCAUCUCUUCAUGGCCCCCGAAAUGUAGGAAUUUGCCGUUGUCUUGCUUUGACAAGAGGGGUGGAUGAGUGUUGUCUCCCGUCUCCUCCACUGUGGAGUUGACUCAUGAAAAUGGCCGUAGUUUCUAUCUUCACUCUGGUUCUUCCGCUCCAGUUCAAAUCCCUAAAGAAUUAUUUCUCCUGAGUAGAGUUGCCUUGUAAGCCUUUGAGAGGAAGGCAUGGGACCAAACUCUGCCAAAAAACGGUCCAAGUUGGCGUGGGGCCAGCCAGUUGGCUGCUGAGCGGAGUCCUCACCCAGCCUCUCCAGGCCCCCCUCUGGUUCCCUUUUACAGCUGUCUGGCCUCAGGUAAUCAUGGGCACUCUGCGGGUCCCUGGCUCUUUUCAUUCCCGUGUUUCAGAUCACUUUACACGCAUUAAUUAAGCCUUAAAACACUCAGAAAAGGAAAGCCAAAGGCAGCGGGAAUGUUUGCAACAUGCGCCUCCAUGCUCUGGCUGAAGAACAGGAUAGCCCUGCCCUCGUCCAGCCCCGCCCUCGCCAAGGUCCACCCUCACCCAGGGAGAAAGUGGGGGCUUCUGCAUAGUUGAAACCCCUUCUACCUGCCUCAGAAAACCCCAUAUUCAUUACUGACUCAGGAUACUCAUCCACCCCACUGAGGUUACCUGCUCUAGGUGAUCCGCAUGACGUUUGGAAGCAGGACUCGGGGCAGAUCUGGCUCAAUGUCUUCAUAACCGGAAUGAAUGUCCUCAGUUGGAAUCCUGUACAAGAGUGCAGUAAGACCUUGGGCUAAGAAAGGCCUUAGGCCAAAUAAGGUGGGCUGUACUGAGCAAAGUCUCAGGUUGACCUCUCUCCGCUGUAUGCACAUAAAUACGCAUGCGCAGAGAAAGAAGGGAUCGAGGUGCUGAGGAAGAAACCUUGAGAGACCAGGAAAGACCCUAGUCCCGGUCUGGCUCGCGAAGAGCUAGCUGUCUUGCAAAUAUUGCUUGGCAUCUUAGGACUGACUAUAGCAUCGCUAACACUGUCAGGAUAACAUCCAGUGCCUCCCCGACCCUUGAUUUCUGAGAAGGAGAAAUCAGAAUAUAACAUACUAAGCAUUUGGCCCUGCAUUUGGCAUAGAAAAAUGCUAGAUAUUCUGGCCUUCCAGAGCCAUCUUGUGUGUAAUCCCAUUCAGUCUGAAUUAAUGUAGUUUUGAUACCAAAGUGUUAGACCGUGUAGCUCGAACUGGUGUUGGUGUCUCUCAUUGAGAUGAGAUGGGCGGAAGCUAAAAGAACUCUGCAGUUUAGUUAGUGGUUUGUGCCAACUGCUAAUCCUUAGUUUAAAUUAACUUAUGGCUGUUUGAGCUGCUAACAUUACCAGGAAGUUGGGUGUGUGAAAUGCAGGGGCUGUGUUUUGGUAGAUGAUAAUAAUCUUAUUGUGAGCGCCUCAAAAUUGGUAAUGAUACCCACAUUUUUAGUGUCCUAUUUUAAAAUACCUCUAUGGCUUCCAAGAAGAUAAUAAAUGCCAAGGCUUUUGUUACCAAAAUAAGAGACAAUUUAUGUUAGCUCCAGCUGUUCUCACCACCAAGGAAAAUGCAUUGAGUUCCCUGUGUCUGCAAAGUGCCAUAUUGUACAUUAAAAUAGCAAACAUUAUUAUCCGGGAGAAAGCCAUUGCUUGUGCGGCAGUCCUUUUAAGGUAGCAGUUUGUAUGUAAGAUAUUUGAUAACUUCACUAUUUCGGCCCCCAGUGCGUUCCUUGUUUCACAGAAAAUGCAUGGUUUGUCUAUCCAUGCCACUCCAAGCCUUCCCCUUUAUCGAGAAGCAACUAGAAAGAGCCGUCCUGUCCAAUAGGGCUAUAGAUUACACUGCUUGCUGCUCCUGAGUACCAGGCUUGCAACAUUCACAGUGAAAUGCCAGUGAUGCCUUUUCUCUAACUUUACGGAGACCCCAGGAUUUGCAUACAUCAUUUCCUCAUUUCUUUUAGAGCAUGCAAAUUAUGAUGUCAUGUGGGGGUCAGAAAGAGCUCUGCAUCUGGUGGGUGGUAAGGCUAUAAAGAACCCCAUCAUCCGUUACACAGAGAGUGUGAAUAUAACAGUUACAGUGGGCUUAGUGGAAGAAGCAGAGCUCGAAGAAAGCAAGCCCUAUGAAAAGUUGUUCAACUUGCCAGUCAAUCUGAAUCCCUGGAAACACCUCGUGGCAUAUCAGGAGGGCAUUCAUGAUCAGAGGAGGUGAGACGGGCUACAACAUGUGAUAGAAGUUACUUCGAUGGUUGGAUUCUAACACUGCUCUAAAAAUGAUCACCAAGCCGCCAUAUCAGAAAGCAUCACAAAGAAAGCGCUCGCAUCUCACUGAUGGCUUAGCACUGGGCUCAUGCGCUGGGGAAGGUGUGCCCACCUACCUUCCCUUCUCUCAAGUCCACUCAUCCAGAAGUCACCCUUGUCCCUUCCCUCCCCAGUGACAAUAAAUAAAGGGCUCUGCUCCUUCCCUUCCUAGUAUGCCUUUGCAGUCACAGCUGUAUGGCUCGUUCUUCCUGUUUCCAGUAAGCUGCUUGUGCUGAAGAAACCAAGGGAGACUUUCCUCCUCCCCUUCCCAGGGAUUAGCAUUUUCCGUAUGACCUGAAUAAUAAAACUAAAUUGUAACGGCCUGUCA